Molecule: ribosomal RNA, 388 nt
Filed under: uncultured bacterium
Lineage: Bacteria
Description: bacterial SSU rRNA
Rfam family: Bacterial small subunit ribosomal RNA
Source: RNAcentral
AUUGAACGCUGGCGGCAUGCCUUACACAUGCAAGUCGAACGGCAGCGGACCUUCGGGUGCCGGCGAGUGGCGAACGGGUGAGUAAUAUAUCGGAACGUACCUUUCAGUGGGGGAUAACGUAGCGAAAGUUACGCUAAUACCGCAUAUUCUGUGAGCAGGAAAGCAGGGGAUCGCAAGACCUUGCGCUGAUUGAGCGGCCGAUAUCAGAUUAGCUAGUUGGUGAGGUAAAGGCUCACCAAGGCGACGAUCUGUAGCGGGUCUGAGAGGAUGAUCCGCCACACUGGAACUGAGACACGAUCCAGACUCCUACGGGAGGCAGCAGUGGGGAAUUUUGGACAAUGGGCGCAAGCCUGAUCCAGCCAUGCCGCGUGAGUGAAGAAGGCCUCGG